This 430-nucleotide ribosomal RNA is filed under the name uncultured bacterium. Its description in RNAcentral is "bacterial SSU rRNA". It matches the Rfam family "Bacterial small subunit ribosomal RNA", at positions 28 to 460 of the family's 1533-position model. The record is from RNAcentral.
GACGAACGCUGGCGGCGUGCUUAACACAUGCAAGUCGAGCGGUAAGGCCCUUUCGGGGGUACACGAGCGGCGAACGGGUGAGUAACACGUGGGUGACCUGCCCUCAGCUCUGGGAUAAGCCUGGGAAACCGGGUCUAAUACUGGAUAUGACUCCAUGACGCAUGUUGUGGGGUGGAAAGCCUUGUGCGGCUGAGGAUGGGCCCGCGGCCUAUCAGCUUGUUGGUGGGGUGANGGCCUACCAAGGCGACGACGGGUAGCCGGCCUGAGAGGGCGACCGGCCACACUGGGACUGAGACACGGCCCAGACUCCUACGGGGGCAGCAGUGGGGAAUCUUGCGCAAUGGGCGAAAGCCUGACGCAGCGACGCCGCGUGGAGGACGAAGGUCUUCGGAUUGUAAACUCCUGUCGAGAGGGACGAAUGCCGCGAGGG